This 806-nucleotide long non-coding RNA is filed under the name Phoenix dactylifera (date palm). RNAcentral's name for it is "long non-coding RNA (PDAC_LNC010575)". Lineage: Eukaryota; Viridiplantae; Streptophyta; Magnoliopsida; Arecales; Arecaceae. The record is from RNAcentral.
GUUGAGAAUUUGAGCCAUGUAUCAUUGGUGAUUAAUUUCUAAAUGCUCCUGAUCAAUGGAUCAUCACGAGGACGGUGAUCGAUCCGAUCAGUGCACAGAUCGCUUUCCUUAUGGAUGGACGAGACUCGAGUCCACAGUGUAGGAACACUGAAGUGAGAGUGCAAGUGCUUGUUAGAGAACAAGGGUACUGAGCGUGACCAAGACAAGAAGUCACUUGGAUGUCUAUCCACUCGUCAGUGACUUACUUGAUGUUGCAGUAAUGUGACUGGUCCUUUGACCUGCGGUGCUUCGGCUACUCACAGUGAGGUUAUUGUAGUUUGACUGCACAUAUACAUGGUCUCUAGUCAUAUGGGUCCUUAUAGUGUAGAUUGGAUGUUGUAGGUUCACUAUAGGAGUAGGGUAUGUGAUUUAUUAGACUGAGUUCUAAGACCUUGGCCAGGGCAGCAAAUACAGUGGAGAAAGAGUUUUUCCGCUAUCGGACUCAAGUCGAAUAAAUCUAGACAUACGACAGACAACGGAGUUUGACGAGUUAUCCAUGACCUCCGAUCUGUAGAGAUCCACGAUAGAAGGACUGUAUCAUACGAUAACUGCACCUAGAGGUUCAUCAUUCUAUUCUGCUGGAUAGCCACUACAUACUGCUAGGUGUCACUGGUGGAUGGUGAGACUCACAGGGAUCAUCUCGAUGGUCGAUAAUCCCUGAUGAUUGAGUUGGAAUUGUUUCAACCCAUUGAAAGGAGUUUUCAAUGAUAUUGUGAUAGAGAUUCCAAUAUUUCUCACUACCAGUUAGAAUAGAACCUAUGGGGUCA